This 364-nucleotide ribosomal RNA is filed under the name uncultured soil bacterium. RNAcentral describes it as "bacterial SSU rRNA". It matches the Rfam family "Bacterial small subunit ribosomal RNA", at positions 26 to 386 of the family's 1533-position model. The record is from RNAcentral.
AGAUUGAACGCUGGCGGCAUGCCUUACACAUGCAAGUCGAACGGCAGCACGGACUUCGGUCUGGUGGCGAGUGGCGAACGGGUGAGUAAUAUAUCGGAACGUACCCUGGAGUGGGGGAUAACGCAGCGAAAGUUGCGCUAAUACCGCAUACGAUCUACGGAUGAAAGCGGGGGAUUCGCAAGAACCUCAUGCUCGUGGAGCGGCCGAUAUCUGAUUAGCUAGUUGGUAGGGUAAAAGCCUACCAAGGCAUCGAUCAGUAGCUGGUCUGAGAGGACACCAGCCACACUGGGACUGAGACACGGCCCAGACCUCCUACGGGAGCAGCAGGUAGGGGUAAUUUGGAACAAGUGGGGCCAACCCGUGA